CUCAGGGGCCCCUAUCUCGGGCCACCGCGCCUAGGCCCGUGAGCAGCCUGUGGCUGAGGCAUGGCGGCACAGCCCACCGGCGUGCCUGCGAAACAGCUGUGCUCCUGAUUCUCAGGCCUUGGGACCCAGACCAGGAUUUCCAUCAGCUCCCUUGGCUCACAGGCCUUCUGACUUCUGACUCGGACUAAAUCACACCAACCGCUGUCCAGCUUGCCAACGACAGCACAUCGUGGGACUUCUUGGCCUCCGUAAUCACUUGAAACAAUGCCUUCAGUAUAUCUCCUAUUAAAUAAAUAUAUAUCUGAUUUCUUA
Cebus imitator (Panamanian white-faced capuchin) is the source of this 312-nucleotide long non-coding RNA. RefSeq lists it as uncharacterized. NCBI's taxonomy places the organism in Eukaryota, Metazoa, Chordata, Mammalia, Primates, Cebidae. The transcript has 2 exons. The record is from RefSeq and is a predicted model, not a curated record.